RNAcentral lists this long non-coding RNA (203 nucleotides) under Lathyrus oleraceus (garden pea). Its description in RNAcentral is "Pisum sativum (pea) long non-coding RNA (PSAT_LNC033173)". The record is from RNAcentral. Lineage: Eukaryota; Viridiplantae; Streptophyta; Magnoliopsida; Fabales; Fabaceae.
UUAAACUUGUUAGGGAGAGAUUUCUUGUUAUUUUAAAUGAAUGAUAUGCAUGAUGACUUAUGCAAUGGUCUUUAGGUUCAACAGGUACCCCAAGUUUAGGCCUGGUGUGGUGAACACCGAGAGAAAUUUUCUUAGUUACAAGGCUUCUGGUUGACAGGUUAAAGGAUGUGUCUGACGUGACUUCCUGAUGUUCCGGCCUCUUG